UACGGGAGGCAACAGUGGGGAAUAUUGCACAAUGGGCGCAAGCCUGAUGCAGCCAUGCCGCGUGUAUGAAGAAGGCCUUCGGGUUGUAAAGUACUUUCAGCGGGGAGGAAGGCGAUGCGGUUAAUAACCGCGUCGAUUGACGUUACCCGCAGAAGAAGCACCGGCUAACUCCGUGCCAGCAGCCGCGGUAAUACGGAGGGUGCAAGCGUUAAUCGGAAUUACUGGGCGUAAAGCGCACGCAGGCGGUCUGUUAAGUCAGAUGUGAAAUCCCCGGGCUUAACCUGGGAACUGCAUUUGAAACUGGCAGGCUUGAGUCUUGUAGAGGGGGUAGAAUUCCGAGGUGUAGCGGUGAAUGCGUAGAGAUCUGGAGGAAUACCGGUGGCGAAGGCGGCCCCUGGGACAAAGACUGACGCUCGAGGUGCGAAAGCGUGGGGAGCAAACGAGGAUUAGAUA
RNAcentral lists this ribosomal RNA (453 nucleotides) under uncultured bacterium. RNAcentral describes it as "bacterial SSU rRNA". It matches the Rfam family "Bacterial small subunit ribosomal RNA", at positions 340 to 784 of the family's 1533-position model. The record is from RNAcentral.